GACGAACGCUGGCGGCGUGCUUAACACAUGCAAGUCGAACGGAAAGGCCUGCUUUCCCUUGUGGAUUGCGGGUACUCGAGUGGCGAACGGGUGAGUAACACGUGAGUGAUCUGCCCCCAACUUGGGUAUAAGCCUGGGAAACUGGGUCUAAUUCCCGAUAGGACUGCAGGGUGGUGCCUGUGGUGGAAAACGAUUUUCUAGUGGUUGGGGAUGAGCUCGCGGCCUAUCAGCUUGUUGGUGGGGUAAUGGCCUACCAAGGCGGCGACGGGUAGCCGGCCUGAGAGGGUGGACGGCCACAUUGGGACUGAGAUACGGCCCAGACUCCUACGGGAGGCAGCAGUGGGGAAUAUUGCACAAUGGGCGGAAGCCUGAUGCAGCGACGCCGCGUGGGGGAUGACGGCCUCCGGGUUGUAAACUCCUUUCGACCGCGAGGAAGCCACCUGGUUGGAAGGGUGGUGACGGUAGUGGUAGAAGAAGCACCGGCUAACUACGUG
Molecule: ribosomal RNA, 494 nt
Filed under: uncultured bacterium
Lineage: Bacteria
Description: partial 16S ribosomal RNA
Rfam family: Bacterial small subunit ribosomal RNA
Source: RNAcentral